UUUUUAUUACACUCUCAUUUUUAUAUUAAAAAAUAGCAUACCAGGUACACUGUUCGGCAUCUUUUUUCACUUCAAGAUCUUCCUGAAUUAGUAUUUAGAGGGCCCAUCUGUAUUUUUAAAUAAUUCUAUUGUUGCCCUCUGAGUUGCUAUCAUAAAUUAUUUAACCAGUGCCUUUUUGAUUUACAUUUCAUCUGUUUUGAAUGUUUUCUAUUGUUUCUGAUAGAUGGCAGCAAGAUUCAGAAGGUUAGACCACCUCUGUCCUUCACAAGGUACUCCAGCAGAUUGUCAACCUAUUCAACACAAGAGGUACUAAGACCCCAUUCCAAAAAGGGCCCUGCCACAAACCCAAGAGGAAGGAAUGGUGCAUGGAGAGGCCAAGAAGAAUCUGACCAGAAAGGCCUUGCUGGGUUUCCCUACUCAGCCUGUCAACAUUAGAUCAUGCCCUUUUUGUCUAAUCACGUUUCACACAGCUGUCCAUUCUUCACUAAAUGCUUCUCAGCUGUGACCCUUUUGAUAGGAACGAAAAGAUCCCACUAGUUCUGCCCCUAUAGUUCUGGUGAUGAAGAUGGGAUGUCUGAAGCACCUGACUCACCUACUGAUGAGAUCCUGAAACAACAGAUAAAGAGCUGGAAAAAUAAGAAUUUUUACCAAGGUCACUUCUCAAUCUCUGC
Molecule: long non-coding RNA, 671 nt
Organism: Cebus imitator (Panamanian white-faced capuchin)
Lineage: Eukaryota; Metazoa; Chordata; Mammalia; Primates; Cebidae
Exons: 3
Source: RefSeq, a predicted model, not a curated record